Non-coding RNA from Tinamus guttatus (white-throated tinamou), 135 nucleotides. NCBI's taxonomy places the organism in Eukaryota, Metazoa, Chordata, Aves, Tinamiformes, Tinamidae. The record is from RefSeq and is a predicted model, not a curated record.
UGCCUUUUUGUCCCUGGCAAUCGAGUACCAUGGGACUUAAAACACUGCAACAAGCUACUUUUAGCUACUGAAAGCAACUCCCAACUUUUCUGUUUGAAGAAUAUGGCAAGUUUUCAAGUGCAGGAGUAAAUUUAU